AUGAAGGAGCACAGAUUGGUGUCAAGCAUUGUAAAACGAUGGCUCUAUGUGGUGAUUGAGGUAUGGCUUGUCAUUAUAUGAAAUUUUUAUUCUGUUUUUUAAUUUUUAAUAAUAUGGAAUGUCACGAGAAACAUUUCUGAAUAAAGUAAUACUUUUACUGCAUGAUUGUACCCUAAUUUAAUGGGUUCCAAUUCUUUUGUUGUUAAUUUUGUUUUUUUCAUUUUGAAUUGUUUCAUCACAUGAUGAUUUGGAUACAUACAAUAUGGACACCAAAACGCGUACAGGUCAGUAAUGUGCCAUAAUUAACUCACAUCAACUUUUAAUGAGAUUCUGAAUUAUAAAUAUUAAGGAGUGCUGUUAUUUUCAUCCCUAUCCUAUUUUUCCACCUAUUAUUGACUAAUUUCUCUCUAUGCCUUCCUUUUUUGUAGCAGAUUGCCCAAUUUGUCAAGCACCUCUUCAUUGGCCAUUGCUUCAACUACAACUUUGUGGUCAAGUUAUGUGAUUGUUCUAUCAAAUGCCUUCUUUUUGGGUCGGAGAGAACUUUAGGAUUGUGUUUUUCAAAUUUACAUGGUAGGUAG
This 578-nucleotide long non-coding RNA is filed under the name Prunus dulcis (almond). RNAcentral's name for it is "sRNA ncRNA". Lineage: Eukaryota; Viridiplantae; Streptophyta; Magnoliopsida; Rosales; Rosaceae. The record is from RNAcentral.